GUGAUACGCCGUCAGCUCAUGCGCAUGCGCUUUAUAAUGUGAUACCGCCAUACCUUCCUCGAGACGCCGGCGGUUGUACAAGAUGGGGAACAAGAGAUUCCUCAAUUUUAACUCACAAAGUUCUUUUGAUUGUCGAUUUUCGGACAAAUAUGGAUAAUUGAAUUAGUAUCAGUUUAAUGAACAAUCUGGAUAUCUAUUUAUUUGUUUUAGAAGUGUUAUCCUCGAUUUAGGCAUGUGACCAAGCCUUCACCCAGGCGACGACACUUUCAGAAUUUGGACCGGAAGUAAUAAGAUAUGGCGUCUGAUGUCGCGGAUCAUGGGAUAGCCCACUCUGUUAAUAAGUGGUGGAUUUCCCAAGAUCCGUGAUCGCAUCUCGCUUUUAACACCGGAAGUGACGGAAUUAAACUACGAAAACCGGAAGAUUGAUAUAAGAAGCAGAACAGAAUGCCGUAUUCAUUUUUCAAAUUUCUUUGUUAAGUUUUCUGUCAAUAAAUACAUUUUUUUUAGUCAAAA
This is a long non-coding RNA of Pecten maximus, 513 nucleotides long. RefSeq lists it as uncharacterized. The record is from RefSeq and is a predicted model, not a curated record. Lineage: Eukaryota; Metazoa; Mollusca; Bivalvia; Pectinida; Pectinidae. The transcript has 2 exons.